This 654-nucleotide long non-coding RNA is filed under the name Nilaparvata lugens (brown planthopper). Its description in RNAcentral is "uncharacterized LOC120351961". Lineage: Eukaryota; Metazoa; Arthropoda; Insecta; Hemiptera; Delphacidae. The record is from RNAcentral.
GGAGAUCAGAAUAAUAGUGGAUGAUGAAGUAAUAAUUUAUUUUUGUCAAAGAUUUACCUUUAAACUCAUAGGCUUAAAAUUACUAAAAUUCCUGCAUACAAAAUAUUAUCAAUUGUAUUUUUUAUGCUUGAUCAAAUACACAGCUGCAAGAUCAAUAAAAAGUGGUUCAACUGAUGAGAGCACAGCAGUUAUUUCAAGUCCUUUGACAUUUGCAAUUGUUAAAAAUUUUCUUAUAAUAUAUGCUUUGAAUUAAUUGCUUUUUAGGAAGUCUCCAAACAAUAGAGAAAACCUCUUAUGAUAGUAUCAUUCGAGUUCAUAGAGACAUUGCAGUCAACCAACCAAGGGAAAACAAGAUUACUCGCGAUAUCAAAAAGGCGAUUCGUCGUUUAAUCAACGGAGAAAUAAGAAUUACACACUUUCUGAGCGCAGUGGCUCAUGGUGUCGAAAACAUUGUCAAUAGGCCACUGCCUCAGAAUGAGUGGUUCCUUCUUGAUAUUGCUGGAGAGGAUGAAGUGAUGUGAGAAGGUUGUCCGUAUCUCCAGAAGAGGUUGUAAAUAUUAGGUGGAUAGGAAAUAUUAUUAGGAUAGAUCUGUAAAUAUUAUAAUGUAUUAAUAUAUAAAUAAAUAAAUUGCAACUUGAAAAUUAUGUAGAAUA